AGUGAACGCUGGCGGCAGGCCUAACACAUGCAAGUCGAACGGCAGCACAGUAAGAGCUUGCUCUUACGGGUGGCGAGUGGCGGACGGGUGAGGAAUACAUCGGAAUCUACUUUUUCGUGGGGGAUAACGUAGGGAAACUUACGCUAAUACCGCAUACGACCUACGGGUGAAAGCAGGGGAUCUUCGGACCUUGCGCGAUUGAAUGAGCCGAUGUCGGAUUAGCUAGUUGGCGGGGUAAAGGCCCACCAAGGCGACGAUCCGUAGCUGGUCUGAGAGGAUGAUCAGCCACACUGGAACUGAGACACGGUCCAGACUCCUACGGGAGGCAGCAGUGGGGAAUAUUGGACAAUGGGCGCAAGCCUGAUCCAGCCAUACCGCGUGGGUGAAGAAGGCCUUCGGGUUGUAAAGCCCUUUUGUUGGGAAAGAAAAGCAGCAGGUUAAUACCCCGCUGUUCUGACGGUACCCAAAGAAUAAGCACCGGCUAACUUC
RNAcentral lists this ribosomal RNA (489 nucleotides) under uncultured bacterium. RNAcentral describes it as "partial 16S ribosomal RNA". It matches the Rfam family "Bacterial small subunit ribosomal RNA", at positions 29 to 504 of the family's 1533-position model. The record is from RNAcentral.